Long non-coding RNA from Phyllostomus discolor (pale spear-nosed bat), 163 nucleotides. RefSeq lists it as uncharacterized. The record is from RefSeq and is a predicted model, not a curated record. The transcript has 3 exons. NCBI's taxonomy places the organism in Eukaryota, Metazoa, Chordata, Mammalia, Chiroptera, Phyllostomidae.
GUCCUUCCACCCCAGGGCCUCUCGCCUGCCAGCCCCGCUCCAUGCUGGCCUGCCUGCCGCCCCCACAGCCUGCGAGGAGCCCUGGAUGGGCUCCCGCCUCUGGCUUCGAACUUGGGAACCUCAGAACACUGAGGGGACAGGAGGGAGGAAGAAAGAGAGAGGG